Molecule: long non-coding RNA, 212 nt
Filed under: Mus caroli (Ryukyu mouse)
Lineage: Eukaryota; Metazoa; Chordata; Mammalia; Rodentia; Muridae
Description: lncRNA (MGP_CAROLIEiJ_G0006003.1)
Source: RNAcentral
AGCUGCUAGCUGCAUCAGAUUCUCUCAUGGCUCUGUAAAUACAGGAUAAAUACUGUCACAUAUACUCCUCUAUGACUAGUUUAUUCAUUGCAGCUCUAGGGAAGCUACUCUGGGACCCAGAUGGACGCCAGAGAGAUGGCCCAAGCUUCUUUCUCAUCUUCAGCACUGCAUCUAUCACCACAGCAAGCUGGGUCCUCAAGCAUCCACCAGGU